This 301-nucleotide ribosomal RNA is filed under the name uncultured bacterium. RNAcentral's name for it is "partial 16S ribosomal RNA". It matches the Rfam family "Bacterial small subunit ribosomal RNA", at positions 509 to 807 of the family's 1533-position model. The record is from RNAcentral.
CAGCCGCCGCGGGAAUACGGAGGGUGCAAGCGUUAAUCGGAAUUACUGGGCGUAAAGCGCACGCAGGCGGUCUGACAAGUCAGAUGUGAAAUCCCCGGGCUUAACCUGGGAACUGCAUUUGAAACUGUCAGGCUGGAGUCUUGUAGAGGGGGGUAGAAUUCCAGGUGUAGCUGUGAAAUGCGUAGAGAUCUGGAGGAAUACCGGUGGCGAAGGCGGCCCCCUGGACAAAGACUGACGCUCAGGUGCGAAAGCGUGGGGAGCAAACAGGAUUAGAUACCCCUGUAGUCCCUGUCUCUUAUAC